RNAcentral lists this ribosomal RNA (252 nucleotides) under uncultured bacterium. RNAcentral's name for it is "partial 16S ribosomal RNA". It matches the Rfam family "Bacterial small subunit ribosomal RNA", at positions 524 to 776 of the family's 1533-position model. The record is from RNAcentral.
UACGGGGGGGCAAGCGUUGUUCGGAAUUACUGGGCGUAAAGGGUUCGUAGGUGGCUUGCUAAGUCAGACGUGAAAUCCCUCAGCUUAACUGGGGAACUGCGUGUGAUACUGGAUGGCUUGGAUUUGGGAGAGGGAUGCGGAAUUCCAGGUGUAGCGGUGAAAUGCGUAGAUAUCUGGAGGAACACCGGUGGCGAAGGCGGCAUCCUGGACCAAUAUUGACGCUGAGGAGCGAAAGCCAGGGGAGCAAACGGG